AGAUAAAACACGGGGAGCUUGUGUACCAGGCUGAGAGGAAGUUAAGAACUUCGACCCAUAUACCUGAUUUGGAUAAUGCCAACGUAGGAAUGUAUAACGUAGAUUUU
This is a non-coding RNA of Dorea sp. 42_8, 107 nucleotides long. The record is from Rfam. NCBI's taxonomy places the organism in Bacteria, Bacillati, Bacillota, Clostridia, Lachnospirales, Lachnospiraceae.